GGGAAAGCUUUGGGCUUUUUUGGGGGGCUCAUUCCCUUUGUUUCUCAAAAUAUCCCUGGCCCUGGCUGCUCUAAUCUCUUCCCAGAGUAGAGACAGCGAGGCUCCUGCUCCAGGAACACAGCCUGCUCCCUGAGACAGCACUCUGGCUCAGCCCUGGGGCCCCGGCCUGGGUGGCCCUCAGGAAGACCUUCUCCUUCAGUGGGGGUGCCUCCCUCCCUGGUGUGAAAUGGAACACUGUUUCUCAGAACCCCGCAUCCUGUGAAACCCUUGGGAAAAAAUAACCUCGAUGCCCACAGGCGAUUGUUCAGUACUUCCCACGCCUGACACUUGUCUUUGAGUAAGUCUGGUGGCGUUCUGGCCGGCCCCGCAACAGCGGGACUGUGUCUUGUGAUAUGAAGAGGUUCUUUUCCUAACCAUAUAUGUCUCCCCAAGAGCACCAAUAAAUAAUGUGGUUGCUCGGCCUGGGUUGUCUUUCCCUAGCUGGCCCAGGAGCCCUCUGGCCCCUGCUCGCGGCUUCUCCUGUUUCAAUUUCCAUGUCCUCUCCGAUUUGUAACUCAAGGAGCUCCCAGGCUUAGGAACAGAUGACGAGCUGGCCACUCCUGGCUGUGGCACCUGGGGAAGGGGCGAUGGGCAAUGACUUGCAGGCACACUCCUGGCUCCCUGGCCCCGGCUGCCGUGACACACUGCAAGUUGACUUUCGCAGGGUCCCUGGACUUCGAGGUGCUACUGUCUGGCAUCUCCUUCAAGGGAAAGCCAGAUCUCCAAACAGCGGCAGAACCAGGCAUGUAGAGCCCAGUGAGUGGCUAGGAGUCAGUGGGGCUCUCUACCUGCCCAUCUCAUCCAGGGCACAACAGGGCCUGGCCUGGAGGACAGUGUCCCCGCUCAGCCAAAGCUCCCUGGAAGAGGAAAUUCCUUUCCUGCAGAGCUCUCCAGGAGAAGCAGAGAAAGAUCUCAGCGCUCAGAGAUUAGCUGGGAUUGCUCUGGAGGCAUGUGAUGAUGGUCAUAAUAGCACCAAGGAAUGACAUACUGUUGAUUUGCUCUCAGGCACAGUACCAAGCAUUUGACCUGAAUUAUUCAAUCCACACACCAGUCACGAGACAGGUGUUUUUAGUUGUCUCCAUUGUACAGAUGAAGAAACUGAGGUGGAGUGGGGUUAAACCACUUGUCAGGGUCAGUAUCAGCAUUGAAUCCCUGCAGCCUGACCUGGGGUCCUCGGCUCUGACCAACUUGGUGAUGUUGUCUCCUCCUGGAAGUUCUUACUGAUCACUUAUAGACAGAUCAGGGAUUUCUUUAUGGCAAGGUAUAUACAAAGGAAAGUGCCGAUAGUCUUUAUUUUUAAAACCUUCAAAGAAAGCAGAAAAGUUAGAAGCAGAAACAGAAGAAAAAAAGAUUUAGAUCAAGUAGUAAUUAUUCAAUAACUCAAGUUUAGAAAGAUACUAGAUUUGGGGCACCUGGGUGGCUCAGUCAGUUAAGUGAUCGACUUCAGCUCAGGUCGUGAUCUCAGUUUGUGAGUUUGAGCCCCUCAAUGGUCUCCAUGCUGACAGCUCAGAACCUGAAGCCUGCUUUGGAUUCUGUCUCAUUCUCCUCUGCCCCUCCCCCACUUGUGCUCUGUCUCUCUCAGUCUCUCAAAAAUAAAUAAAAAUGUAAAAAAAAUUAAAAAAAGAAA
This 1666-nucleotide long non-coding RNA is filed under the name Felis catus (domestic cat). Its description in RNAcentral is "lncRNA (ENSFCAG00000051261.1)". Lineage: Eukaryota; Metazoa; Chordata; Mammalia; Carnivora; Felidae. The record is from RNAcentral.